RNAcentral lists this ribosomal RNA (492 nucleotides) under uncultured bacterium. RNAcentral describes it as "partial 16S ribosomal RNA". It matches the Rfam family "Bacterial small subunit ribosomal RNA", at positions 28 to 507 of the family's 1533-position model. The record is from RNAcentral.
GGUGAACGCUGGCGGUAGGCCUAACACAUGCAAGUCGAACGGCAGGACAGUAAGAUUGUGCUCUUACGGGUGGCGAGUGGCGGACGGGUGAGGAAUGCAUCGGAAUCUACUUUUUCGGGGGGGAUAACGUAGGGAAGCUUACGCUAAUACCGCAUAUGACGUACGGGUGAAAGCAGUGGAUCUUCGGACCUUGCGCGACUGAAUGAGCCGAUGUCGGAUUAGCUAGUUGGCGGGGUAAAGGCCCACCAAGGCGACGAUACGUAGCUGGUCUGAGAGGAUGAUCGGCCACACUGGAACUGAGACACGGUCCAGACUCCUACGGGAGGCAGCAGUGGGGAAUAUUGGGCAAUGGGCGCAAGCCUGAUCCAGCCAUCCCGCGUGGGUGAAGAAGGCCUUCGGGUCGUAAAGCCCUUUUGUUGGGAAAGAACAGCAGUCGCUUAAUACCCCGCUGUUCUGACGGUACCCAAUGAAUAAGCACCGGCUAACUUCGUG